GGAGAGUAGCGCCGGGUGGUCCGGCAGCCCGCCUCGAAUGCGGGAGCGGCGCGAAAGCGCCGGGGUUCGACUCCUCUGCUCUCCGC
Molecule: transfer RNA, 86 nt
Filed under: Mycobacterium koreense
Lineage: Bacteria; Bacillati; Actinomycetota; Actinomycetes; Mycobacteriales; Mycobacteriaceae
Description: Mycolicibacillus koreensis tRNA-Ser
Source: RNAcentral